ACACACACACACACACUCUAUCACUCAGCUCAACUCAACUACCUCAAAGCACUGAGACUGGACUUACACAUCAACCUGUAAAUGCUCUUUUUGCACAAUAUUUUUAUGUUUACUGUUCCUGCACUACCUACAUACCAAGUAUGUUUACGGUUUCCUUUGCACUACUUACCUAGUUAGAAUAGUUAGUUUUAGUUAAUUUAUGUUGUAAUUUAUGUUAGGUCAGUCUGUCCUGUCUCUAGUUAGCUAGUUUAGUGAUUUUCUGUUAAUUUAUGUUGUAAAUUUAUGUUGCAUGUAGCACCUUGGCCCUGGAGGAAUGCUGUUUCGCCUCACUGUGUACAAACUGUAUAUGGCUGAAGUGACAAUAAAGCCAACUUGACUUGACUUGACUUGACUUGACCAAGGUAACAAAUGAACUCGAUGGGUGUAGCAGCCCCUUUGAGGGAAACUAACAGCGCCUCCUGGAGCCAGACUCUGGAGACAAAUAUCUGUUAGUAACGCCUGAAGCCGCCGGGAUCAACCAGGCGCACCGGGGCUGCCGCCUUCAGGGACUGUGGUCAAGCGCUGUGUCGGCACUGUGACCCCGGCAUCGCUGACUGAUCGCUGUCGAAUAUCAAAGCUUUACCUGACAGGGACGGUGACUGCAUGUAAUGUUAGCAGAUGUAUGGCAUGUACACUGUGCUCCUGCAGCUUCAGCGACCCUGACAAGCUGCAGGCUGCUCGCAGACUCACCUGCCUGCACAGUUCUCCAAACACAGACUCCUCACUGAAAGAAAACCUUUAGCCCACGGUGACUCCGAGUCUGCCUCUGGACUUUCUGUUGGUCUGCAGUCGUCAUAAUAAUAAUAAUAAUAUUUCUCCAGCUGUCCUGAAACUGCUCCCAGUCAGAAGCCAGUAAAACACAACACUGUGAUUUCAGGAUUCUUUCCCACUAAAUGGGAUUAUUUAUUAUCCUGAUAAGAUUUCCUCAAACAUAACACCCGUCUGGAUUAGAGAUGAAGCCUGCCUGUUUCUUUUUGCUCCAGCUGUAUUUCCACAUCCCCUGGAUGUGACCUCAGGGAUAUUUGGGAUGUUUCCAUGGUGACCCCAUCAACCCAGUGGAGAGAGGCAGAUCAUGGAGUAACGAGUAUGAAAGUAAACAUCCGGAGUUCAAAAAACAUUCACAGGAUUUCAUCAGCAGAUAAACUGGAAUGAGCGAGGACACUGACGUCAGACCGAGGAGAACAUCCUCUCACAGUGUUUCAGAACCACACACACACACUCACACACACACACACGCAUACACACACACACACACACACACACUCACACACUCACACACACUUAUAUAUCUGUUACAGUCCCCAGUGUUAUUGUAAAUCUGUGACUUCAUGGUGGUUUAUGACUGAUGGUGUUUUGGGUUCUGCGUCGUAUCCUGGCGUUCUUCUUUGCUCUUCUUAGGUUUUCUUCCUGCGUUUAGUUCAGUCUUCAUGUUUAUUAUGUUGUUCCCAGGUCAGUCGUGUCUCUGUGCUCCAUGUUCCCUGUUUUACUUUGACGGUCCGUGUCUCAUGUCAGUGUUUCUAGUUUAGCUUCCCCCGGUCUCGUCAGCUUUGAUUACUCCCAGCUGUGUUUAACCCUGUGUUUCUCUGUCAGUGUCGCGUCGUACCUUCAUACCUGGCUGUGUUCUGUCUGCCUGUUACGCCUGGUUAUGAUUCCCAGUCUAGUUAGUUUCUGUUCCUUUUGCUGUCCAGCAAAUAAAGCUGAGUUUAGUUUUGCCGUCCUGAGUCCUGCUGCACACACACCAUGACAGUAUCGACAGAUGGAUACAGAAAGUAAGUCAUCCUAUGUGCAGAGCUGCAUCGUCAUAUUAAACAUGUCCAGAGUUUCCAGUGAGCGGCUGGUGAUGGUGGCAUGUGGGCCCAGCAUCAGAUAAAUGAGGGUUUAUCAUUUUCUGUUUGGACGAGGUUCACUGGCUGGACUUGUUGUUUUGGUUCAUACUCUGACAGAAGAGCUUAAAUAAAUCUUUCUGUCCACUUAAAGGUCAAAACAAAUUUGCAAUUCAAAGUUCAGCAGCGCAGUGCUAGAGCUGCUCCGAAACAGGAACACGAACAAGCCUGGAAGGCUUUCUGCCUCUAAGACGUCGUCACAACGUCGAGCUGAAAACACUGACGCAGAUUUUUUUGUGCCUGCAGCGAUUCACUGACAUGAUAUCUGAGCACAUUUCUUCUCCUGGUCCACGCCGAGGUUUCAUCGCCUGCUUGGCAACGGCCUCGUCACUGGGACCGGAGGAAGGAGCUCAGAGCGCGCUCCGAAUAAUGAGUCACUACAUUUUUUCCACAGGUCAUUAUAACCUCGUUAGCUAAGUCCCCUCCCAGCAAUCGGAGCGCCGGAGGUCAUUUUAGAAGUAAUUCCAUCACUGAGUAAAUAUUAGACUUCAUACAGAGAGAUGUGUGAGGGUGGGGCUCACCUGACAUUCACAGGUGAAGAGGAGCCGAGAGAAGAAAGAAGGGAGGAUGCUGAGGAUGAAGGUUGCUAAUUAGAGCAGAAAGGCUGUAAUUGCAGUUGCUCAUUAUGGUUUAGGAGAACACACACACACACACACACACACACACACCAUCAGCACGAAUUACCUUGCUGCAGUGAAACAUCAGUGUGUGCGUGUGUGUGGUUGGGUUUGUUCACACUGGGGUGACUGGACCAGUUUAUGGGGCUCGGUGCUGCUGAGAGGCUCUCUUCAUCCUGCUCCUCAUCAUCACACACUCACAGGCAUCAGGCUACCUGAGUGUGUGAUGCUGAGGAGCAGGUGGCCGUAUCACACUGUUCAUAAACACCUGUGGCUGCGCUAACCCCGACACACAGCAGGGGGCCGCCUGAGCAGCCUCAUUUAUCACUAUGAUUGUUGUUGUUGUCAUAAUUAGCACAUUGUAUUAGCCAAGCAAACCACCACCUGUGUGUUUGGACAGGAGGAGACCCUGAAGCCUGCAAUGCCACCCUGCGUGAUCUGAUUGGUUUAAAUGAUGAGUCUAAAGGGGUUAAAGGUCAACAGGAAGUUAGCUGUUUAGUGUCAUUGUUACUGUGUGAGGACCAAAGUGGAGGGCCUGCUGUCUGAGCUUCUGCAGGUGGAGUUCAGGUAUGUCAGAGGUGAUGCUGAUGGUUCACCAUCGAGCUGAGCUGUGACCGAGCUGAACAAACUGCAGGAGGCUGGCCCCUCAGUCUUCCUGCUCCUCCUCCUGCUCCUUCACUGAGACGGAGCAGAAGGAGCAGAAGGAGACAUGCAGAUGCUUCUUCUUCAUGUCACCGUUGUUUUCACCUCCAUGUUGCACACCUGAGCUGCAGAACAGAACACGGUGCUGCCUUUAAUGAGCCCAAAAUGUGCAGAAAUCCUCCUUUCAGAGCACAGCAGCUCCUGCCAGCAAAAACAGCUGGUGAAAUAUACGAAGGAAACCGAUGUAAAAUUCAAGGAUCAGACUCCGGCUGGGAUUUAAGUUAGGAUCAGCUGGUUGACUGGAAAACAGGAGCAGUAAUUCUACUCUGACACGUGGUGGAAUAUUCCUGCACUCACCGACCAGGACAGGUAAUAUUAACACACACGCACCUGAGGUCCUUUCUAAAGGAGCUGACAUAAAUCACACUGUAGCUCCUGCUUCCACGUGUAUAAAUCACAGCAUUGAUGAGCAGGUGACGUAGAAAUGUCCACAGAGGUGGUGCUGUUUGCUCCUGGUGGUCAGCUUUGUUUCGCCCUUGGUUCAUCAGUGAGACGGUGCCGUCGUCCCGGGGCUCGAGCCGAGGGUCCUGUGGGUCACUGUUGUUUGUGGGGACUUUGCAGUGUUUUUGAAUAAAGCUGUAACGUGUUUUGAUGUUGUCUGUUCCAGAUGUGGGCAGGUGUGGCACCACACAGCAGCCACAUCUGGACGGUGUAACGUGGACGUGCAGCUGCAGAUAUGGUCAUCACUUCCUGCCAUCUGAGGAUCUGCGUUUUUGUACCUGAACCUCACACGUUCUGCUCGGCGUCGCUGUGAUUACCUGCACCACGGACAGCGCUGUAACGCCUCGGUGCAGCUUCCCGCUGUGCGUGGACGCCCUGAGCAGCGAGCCGCUCGUUAGCCCAAACUUCAACAAGACUCUGAGUCCCAGUUUUGUCUUUAUGUGGACAUCGUUUAAUCCUGCAGACGAAUACUCCUGAAUAAGAGAGGAAGGAUUUUAGUGGCAAAGGUCUGAAUGGAGACGAGUCACAUGACCGAUCAGAGCGCUCAUCCCUCGACUUGUUACUGAUAAAACUUAAUCUGCGCGCCACAAAUGAUGCUAAUUAUCAAAAGUAUCUCCAACCUGCGACUUCAUUUUAUUCUGUUCAUUUAUUUGGUUGUCUUCUUUUUAUAUGUGGAUUCAUGUUUUGUUUUCAUUUUGUAUUUGUUAAUGUUUUUUUAUUUAAUCCAUGUUGAUGCCAGACGGACGUCUGUGCGGCUUCAGCUCAGGAACAGGAAGUUGUUUGUUCCACGGUUUUUCUGUUGCUCGUUGGUGAUUAUUAUUUCAAAGAGAGGCUCAUGCUUCGUCUCCUUGUUGCUGCAGAGGAUAAAGUCGUGCUGGCUCUCUCUGGUGGAUAAUUUUCAGCAGCAGCUUCAGUAAAAACUUUCACUCAGCAGGAAAAGAUCUGAGGACCAGAAAGCCUUCAGGAGUGACACCUCAGUGUGCCGUGGAGGAAGCACGAGAUGAGCUGCAAGGACGUGCUGCUCAGGGCUUUAGACGUCAGAGGUCAGGGCUUUGUGGAUGACAUCACCAUCAUCAGAUGUGGGAAAAAUCUGGAUGAUUAACCCAACAGGCUGAAAUAUCCUGUCUCAGAGUGACGCUGAAAAACUAGUUCAUGCAUUUAUUACUUCCAGGCUGGACUACUGUAAUUCUUUAUUAUCAGGAUGUCCUAAA
Molecule: long non-coding RNA, 4893 nt
Organism: Oreochromis niloticus (Nile tilapia)
Lineage: Eukaryota; Metazoa; Chordata; Actinopteri; Cichliformes; Cichlidae
Exons: 3
Source: RefSeq, a predicted model, not a curated record